GACAGAGGUCCCGAGCGUUAGGCGGAAUCACUGGGCUUAAAGCGUGUGUAGGCGGCGGCCUAAGUACCUUGUGAAAUCCCACGGCUCACCCGUGGAACUGCUCGGUAUACUGGGUCGCUUGAGCCACUUAGGGGCUACCGGAACAAAUGGUGGAGCGGUGAAAUGCGUAGAUAUUCGGAAGAACACCAGUGGCGAAGGCGGCUCACUGGACUGGUAUUGACGCUGAGGUGCGAAAGCGUGGGGAGCAAACAGG
RNAcentral lists this ribosomal RNA (253 nucleotides) under uncultured bacterium. RNAcentral describes it as "partial 16S ribosomal RNA". It matches the Rfam family "Bacterial small subunit ribosomal RNA", at positions 524 to 776 of the family's 1533-position model. The record is from RNAcentral.